This 323-nucleotide ribosomal RNA is filed under the name uncultured Glomus. RNAcentral describes it as "SSU rRNA". It matches the Rfam family "Eukaryotic small subunit ribosomal RNA", at positions 569 to 899 of the family's 1831-position model. The record is from RNAcentral. Lineage: Eukaryota; Fungi; Glomeromycota; Glomeromycetes; Glomerales; Glomeraceae.
AGCAGCCGCGGUAAUUCCAGCUCCAAUAGCGUAUAUUAAAGUUGUUGCAGUUAAAAAGCUCGUAGUUGAAUUUCGGGGUCAGUAGGUCGGUCGUGCCACUGGUAUGAACUGGUUUUACUGAUUCCUCCCUCUUGAAGAACUGUAAUGCCAUUAAUUUGGUGUUGCGGGGAAUCAGGACUGUUACUUUGAAAAAUUGAGUGUUUAAGGCAGGCUUUAGCUUGAAUACAUUAGCAUGGAAUAAUGAAAUAGGACGUUUGAUCCUAUUUUGUUGGUUCUAGGAUUGACGUAAUGAUUAAUAGGGAUAGUUGGGGGCAUUAGUAUUC